Cuculus canorus (common cuckoo) is the source of this 1022-nucleotide long non-coding RNA. RefSeq lists it as uncharacterized. The transcript has 5 exons. The record is from RefSeq and is a predicted model, not a curated record. Lineage: Eukaryota; Metazoa; Chordata; Aves; Cuculiformes; Cuculidae.
UUUCCCUCUGCAAGAAAAUGCAUCGGGAUUGUGUUGGUCUGUUCGAAGAAUUCCAGAUUUUCUCCAGCACCUCUUGGCUUUGUGUUGAUGUCCGUUGCUUUUGGAAAGGAUUGCAUCCAGUUUUGGACUUGAGGCAGAGAGCUUUUACCCCGAGAAGGACAGAGCAUGGCACGUGCGCAUAAGCAGAACCUGUUCUUCCUUGAAGUCAACUGCAACAAUGCAGGUAACAUUCCCAUUGGCAUCACUCGACUUGGAAGUGCUUAUUCAUCUAAAGAAAUUUAAAGCUUUUUCAGGCAAAAUUCUCAUCUGCCAUACCCAGCUUUCAUAAAGGAAUCAUUGAGAGAAAGGCAACUACUUUUCAGCUCCCGGUUUCUCCCCAGAUGCCCAGCUUUUGGGAAGGGAGUGUUUGAGUGACUGUGACCAGAACUGGAGCGCUGUCUGCUCACAGAAACCCGGACACCGUAGACUGGAGGUUCAGAACCAGUGGCCACAGCAGCGAGCAAAGGAAUUCAUGAUCCAAGCAGCUCAGUCAGGAUCCAACAAAUCAGGACUGAAGCAGAAAUGUAAGUUUUCAGACUGCUCCAACGGCUUUGUCAUUGACCUUCCGGCAAGUCACAGUUCCAAAUCCUAUCUGCAGAAACAGCUCUCACCUCUGGCCUCUUCCCCAGAGUGCCCCUGGCUAUUCCGUUUCACAUCCAGAGUCACUGAGAGGGAAUGAAAACCAUUUUAGUUUUGAGAUGUUACAGCUGGUGGCAGAGAGAGAUUUUUGUUGUAGUUUCAUGCUUGAGUAGAGAAGACAGCGGGGAUGAAGCAGCACCUCACCACCAGAAGGAUUCGUUCUUCAGCAACGUCUGUCCAAAACCAGCUGCUGGAGGGCGCGCUAACUCAGAGAACCGCUUCUGGCUGUGGCUGCUGCUCUGGCACUCAUCUUGGGGGCAACAUGAGGAAUUGCAGUUGACAAUAAGGUGUCUGUGAAGAUGAGGAAUAAGGACCAACGCUGAAAAUAAGGAGAGAAUAUGAAC